RNAcentral lists this long non-coding RNA (43686 nucleotides) under Linum usitatissimum (flax). Its description in RNAcentral is "long non-coding RNA (LUSI_LNC004826)". The stretch from base 17226 to 17391 matches the Rfam family "U1 spliceosomal RNA". The record is from RNAcentral. Lineage: Eukaryota; Viridiplantae; Streptophyta; Magnoliopsida; Malpighiales; Linaceae.
UUUAUUUUUUUUUUUUUUUUUUUGUGAUUUUUUUUUUUUUUUUUUUUUUCGUUUUCUUUUUUUUUUUUUUUUUGUUUUUUUUUUUUUUUAGAACCGUUUGCAUUUGAAAGAGGAGAAGACGUUUAAUGUUUACUUUGUUUUUGUUGUAUGUUCUGGAUUCAAAUGAUUCUGUUUUUGGUCUGAACUUCCUUGGAAUGGUUUUGACGACCUUUGUUUCUGGGCACUGUAAUCCAACCACAUUUCUUGCAUGUUAACAGAAUCUGAGAAGAGUAAUUGUCAAGAGAGUUUUUUAAUAUGGUGUGUCUGUGGUCUGUUUUGUGCUGUGUCGGAGUUGUCUACCGAAUUCAGAUAGUGCAUUUGUCUGUCAAUCCUUUAAAAUCGGAGUAACUGUAGAUAAUGCAUUUGUUAUCACAGAAGUUUGAGCGUCUCUCGGUUGGUCGAAGCUGUGUUUUUGCUGCAAAUUGUUAUGUACAUAGAAGCUGUAUUUGUAUUUUAUAAUAGGAUGUAUGCUUCUGCAACUACUGGAGCCCCGAAAAACAAAAUCCCAACCAUACCAUCAACACAUGUUCCAGACCAAGUUGGAAAGAAAUGGUUUCAAGCGGAUUCCAGAGAUCACCUUUGCUCUGAAAUAUGCCAUACUCGAUCAUAGGCCUCAACUGAGAGAUCUCCACCUGACACUCUUACUUGUGGAACUAAAGCUGUGUGGGUAAUAUCUCAGCUUCAGUGACAGCAUGCUUCAGUUGCUGAAUUUGAUGAACAUAUUUCCUUUGCCAUAACUAAAUUACCAGCUUCUGACGGAUUUGAGAGACCAACAUACUUGUGUAGCUGUUCUAUAGAGGCAUACUGUUCUAGUCGUCAGCAGCCUACUUUGUUUGUUGUGUAUGUAACCCGGCCACUGUUGUUACAAACGUACACUUGAGUUUUUGUCCUCAGGCUGCAUAGACAUCCCGGGAUUGGAGAAUGCCAUGAUUCAUGAUAAUCAAAGUCGAUAGUUUUUAUCGAAUGUUAUGAACUCGGGUGAUGUGUAGCUUUUUUCAAAGCCUCAAUCUUAGGUGCUAGGAUAUUGCACUGUUGGGUCGUUGAGAAACUUUUACCUACAAUCUCCAGUUUAAUGUAUACAGACAAGGCACGUCUGAAUGGGCCAGUCAGUUACAUUGGAGAAAGUGGGAAGCAGAAGAGGAGAAGGGAGUAUAAAUUCCACAUUAAUACCCAAACAAAGAUCUGCUCUUCUCUUCCUUCCUCUUCGCUCUGUAACUCUAUCACUGAAGAAACUAAAGCUCCAGAUCAGACAAAUAACUCUCUUGGUUCACCUAUUCUUUCUUCGACUUGGUUUAUGAGGUAGAUUCCGACUCCACAAAACCCACUCAUCAAUCUCUCAUAACUCUUUUUUACUUUUACUUAGUCAUUUUGUCGAACACCUUGCAUGCAUCUCAAUCGUUGUUGUAGCUAACCUUCUUUUUCAGCUAUCCUGUUUGCCAUAGUUUGAGCAAGUUAUAAGGGAACGUAUUGUUGUCUGAUCUCUGAUGGGGACGGAAGGGUGGGAGUGCGGAAGUGCUUUCGGAGAAUUGAGCGAUGAUGACGAGCUUAAUUUGGUAGAGGAUGAUGACAGUGAACAACUUUUCAACCUAUGCGGUCCUUCAAAGAAACUUCAGUUCAGGUAAGUUUCUGUAGUUCAGUACUGCUAUCAGUGCGGAAUUGAUUGUGUAAAAGAUCAUUACUUGCGCUACUGUUUAAAGAUUGAACCAUUAAACAACACUCCGAUAAACCAUUAUGAAACAGCUGCUGGAUUGAUCUCCAUGUUUAAGAUAGAGUUCAUAAUCUGAUAUUAUCAGGAGUGAUAUCUCAAAGGCUCGAUGGGAUGAGGAGCUUGAUAUGGCUGAAGUAACUGAGAAGAAGGGGAAAAUGUGGAUCACAAUGGGUAUUAUGAGAAGUGGCAAGACAUAUUGCUCAAUCGAGGAGACACUGUAGGUAGAAAGAUUGUACAAAGUUUCCAGCUUUGUGGUGAAUUUGUUGAACCUGUGUUGUUUACUUUACUGUGCAGCUUUUUGGCUGAAAUUGGGGGAUUGCAUCUCAUGGACUGUAAUAAUAAUGUGCAAUCUUCCUUGAAAGAAAUCUAUGAGAUGCUUGCAGAUGAAAAGAAGGGUUGCUGUUGGGAGCUUUUCGAAGCUUAUAGGCACUUGAAGUCCCUUGGUUAUAUCGUUGGCCGACACGGUAUUCCAUGGACAAUGAAGGGUGUUAAGAAGGAUGGGAGCAGCAACUCCUGUUCUUCCCAAGUUGAUUUUGACAGCAACAAUGUACAUGAUGAUGGUGAAUCAGAAGAAGAUACAGUUUCCGUCACUAAAAAGCUGGGUGAUUUGCAGAUUAAUGAUGGCUUGAAGCCUGUAUUGGACGCUCACCUUCCUAACAGCAAGUUCAGGAAGACUUCACCUGGUGACCCCAGCUUUCUCCUCUGCAUAUCCAGGUACUCACCUAACUUCCUUCUUUAAAUUCGUUUGAAGCUUCUAAAAGCAUUCUUAAAUCCCGGUCCAGAACUGUCAGAAAGAUGUGCAGAUUAGCUUGAUUCACUUGAAAUCAGCGUUUGAUCGUUUGUGAACCAGCUACGAUUUUACUACCGUCAUUCUACGAUUUCACGACAUGAACAUCGAACUGCUAUUUCUCGUUUAUCUUCAGAGACAGCAUGCCCCCAUCAAGAGCUAAAAUUGAAGCGCUGGAAAAUCAGUGUGGAGGGAUUCCUAUAAAGGUUUGCCAUGUAGAGCAUGGCCGGGUCAGCUUUUUCAGCUUCAAGAAGAUACAACUUCCAAAGCUUCCAUAAACAACUGAACAUGUCCACCCAAUUCUAUGUGAUGAAGUCUGCUAGCUAUGACUAACAAGAACAAUGGAACAUGGUCACUCUUUUGUUUCUUUCGAUUUUGGAGGAGUGUUGUGCAAGUAUUACGCUUUAGAAUGAAAAAGCCUGAUCGUUGUUUUUAUAUAAUCCUACUGUUUAUUUUAUCUCUUUGUCGACAUCUAUUUUCAAGUCGUGAGAUCGAUUUCUACACAGAUUAGAAGAUAUAAAAGAGUUUUUUGGCCACUUUAUGGACAACUCUAUUAACACCACGACGCACCACCUGUAGCCAAAGACAAGCCGCCAAGAACGCUAGAACUUUUGCAAAAAUAACUUCACCUAUCACACACCUCUGGGACAAACGAGAAAGAACAUAAGAUAUUCAAAUACCUUCAAAGACAAUUCAAAUCAAUAACAAAAAACCAAAAUCAGACUGAAUACCUAGGAAUUGUAGAAUACCAGACGAGGAUGAACUAGUUAUUUGGAAGCUCAGUUGCCAACAAGUUGUCAGGAUGGCCGAGUGGUCUAAGGCGCCAGACUCAAGUUCUGGUCUUCGAGAGAGGGCGUGGGUUCAAAUCCCACUUCUGACAUUUCCUUUUUGUUCUUUUUUGUUUCAUGCCUCCCCUGCUUCUGCAAUGAAAUUUCCAUCUUUAUCAUCUACUAGUUUCUUUGCUUGAAGAUGAUAAGAUGUUUAGCUGCACUGCAAGCUUAAGUGCUCAGCUUCUGGUUCUAUCCCAAACUGGCAUUUCAUCAAACCGAAAUACCUCGUCCCUUCCUCUACGUACCAUGAUUCAUCUUCAUUUUUCUUAUUUUCUGGAUCUGCUGGUUCAGUUACAAAUACAAUCAAUCAUGGUUCCAGUACUGUCAUGAUUAAUUGUUGGAAUUAAACUAGAAGCAUUUGUUGGAAUCAAACUGAAAGCAUUUGGCAUCGCUGAAUCCGAAACCCUCCAUGGGUGAUUCGGAUAUGAAACUUAACCUAAGCCUGUAAGAGAUCAAAGAAUAUUAUCAAAUACUUGUCUCCGACUCUAAAUCAGCCGCAAGAUCUGAUCACUUCUAAGGUUCACAUUGAAUCAAUCUACAAUCCCAACUCUCAUAAAAUCGGAAGAUUCCUGUUACGUGCAUGAAUUUAUCGAUUUUGAGGUUCGUUCUCUCUUUAGUAUAUGUAAGGAGGACGAAGGAUUUGUUGGAAUCAAACUAAAAUGGUUACAAAGUGCAUAUACUGUUGUACUGCUUUUGUACAAAGUGUUACACUAAGUACGAUAUAAUAAAUAUUAUUUACAUAGUUUGGCUGUCAAAUGUCGAUUUUGUCUUCGUGUUUCUAGCCGUUAGAUCUAAACCACAAUUUCUGAAUGGUUGAUAUUUGUACAAGCUUUGACCAAAUCCAUAAACCAUUCCUCUGACUCUAUAAAGAGCUCAUCAUGAUCAAUCGGAGCAAAUGAAAGAGAGGGAAAAAAAACUUAAGUAGACAGAUCAAUGGCCGAGAAGAAGAUUUCGUCAAGGGUAACCCUACGGCCCUUCAGAUUAUCGGACGCCGACGACAUGUGGAGCUACCUGACGACCAACCGCGGGGAGAUGACACGUUACACGUCGUUACCGUGGAAGGAGGGUAUGUUCAAGUCAAAGGAAGAUGUGGAGUCGUACAUACAGAAAUUCUGCAUCCCACAGCGUUACUGCCGGUCGAUUUGCAUCGACGACAGCGGCCGGUCGGUGGGGAUGGUGUUAAUCACCCCUGGAAUCGGAAGUAGUAGUGGAUCAUCAUCAUCAUCAUCAUCAUCAUCAUCAUCAUCAUCAUCAUCAUGGCGGAGGGGGAAUAUUGGAGUGCUAGUGUCGCAGGAGCAUUGGUCGAAGGGAGCGUGUACGAGAGCUAUGGAGAUCGCUGCGGUGGAUGGGUUCCGAGCUAUUCCGGAGAUGGUACGGCUAGAUGUAUUGGCGGAUGUGGAGAACAAAGGGGCGAUCAAGUCUGCGGAAAGAGCCGGGUUUCAAAGGGAAGGACUGUUGAGGAAGUUUUUGUUUCAUAAUGGUGAAGAUAGGGAUAUUGUUGUGUAUAGCAUGUUGGUUCAUGAUCCAAGCCGUCUUGCUUUGGUUAGUAAGUUCCGCACCACCUCCGCCGCCGCCACCAUCACCUUGAAGCUUUGAUAAGGUUUUGUUCGGCAUCCAGUAGGAAGUGUCCAUCUUAUUUUUACGAUCAUAAACUUAUAACCGUUUAAUUUAUAAUAAAAUUAAUUAUAAUCUGAUAAAAUUUAUCUCAUCAAACUAGUUUUUAAACUUUUUACACCAAUUUAUAUCGUAUUUCCUAUUACAAAAUGCGAAUUAUUUCUAAUUAUAAUUAAGAUUCUACAUCUACUUACACUAUUUUUUCCACUAUGACCAACCUAUGGCCAACCUAACUAAAUGCCAUAUAUGCAUGCAUGCUAAGCAACCACCGCAAACAUGCACAGUUCCACAUGGAUUCUUUCUAGUACUAUGAUCUUGCACAUGAAUUUAAUUAGGUGGCAACUUUGUUUCCAUGCAUAGAUAUAUUUAGGUGGCAACAAAUAAAUGCAGGGGAAGUCUAAGAACCAUAAUGGUAAAUUGGUUAAUAUAUAUACAGGUGGCAGCAGGUGGCCAAAACGUUUAGUCUCAUCAUUUUAUGGAGAGCUCUGUUGACGACACGUCGGACUACUUGCACCUACAAAUUCGAACACGCCGCCAAAACAAACAAGAUAUUCCGCCGCCCCUGCACCACCAUCAACCUCUUCUCAGCUUUAGCCAUAAAAGGAAUAUCAAAAUCCCUCCACAUCUCCCUCGGCACUCUCCUUCGAAAACUCAAUCAUCGAAUCCAGUCACGUUUCCAGAUAACAGGAAUGCGCCGACAAACCGAGACUAACCCUUAUCGCAGUAUCCAUUGUUGACAAUAGAAGCCUGCUGUAUGGGCUCUGGUUUUAUGUGUACAUGUUUGCUUAUUAUAGUGCAGGAUUUAUGACCCGCAUAAAGGAAGCCUGGUCCAAGUCCGUAGUCUGAGCCCAGCCGACAACUGCCGACGCGUGUCUAACACUUACCUUAAAAUCAUCAGCUCAUCGCAAGAGGCAGCUACUGAUCGGAAAAUCUCUCCUCCUCUAUGACGAGAAAUCAGGCGAACAUGCAAGGAAAGAAGGAAGGUUCAUCUCUCGGAUUAUUCGUCAGCAAGGGAAUCUAAUGGUGAUAAAUAGAGGCUGCGACCAUCUCCAAAAAGGUGGUGAAGGAAACUCAACCAGGCUCAAGGGCACAAUCAGGAGAAGGAUCGUGCGAUUGGAGUUAAAGCUUUGGAUCAAGCAACCGCUGCUGAAGUUCUGCUGGGGCCUUUGAAGAUAGCUGGAGCUUAACUGGAUUAACGGUGACUUACUUGUCAAAGACCUAAAGUGUUUCAGGUUGUAAAGUCGCCAACCCUGUCAAAUUUGUGAUUAUGUUAAUUUUGUAUUCAGAUAUCAUUGAUUGAGUACUGAAAGGCUUGCAUGCUAGAUUAUUGACCAUAAAGUGAUCAAAGCUACAUUUAGCUGUAACUACUGUUUCUCUGCACAUCAGUAACUUUCCAGAGCAAGUCCCAGUUGUUUCCUUGAACUUAAUAAUUUGUAAUUGUUCUUCCAGAUUCGAUAAAUUUGUCUCAGCUAUAAGGAUCAGUUUACAACAUUCAUGUCUCCCAAUUCAAACACCCGAUUCUCCUUCUCCACCUUGUAAUAGAAAAUAUGGAUCUCAGUACCAAUAGUACAUUGGUCGACGAAGAUUUCGAAAGAAAAACUACGCACUGUGGAUGAUUACUGAGAGGUGAAAGUGGGUUUGGUUUGAUUUUAGUUAGCUAAAAUGGCAAUGGAGGGUGUUAUGAUCAUCCAUCCAUUAAUUACAACACAUCAAAAUAAAAAAGUUGUAGGUUCAGAGAUUACUUGGCCAGACUCAAAUAUCAGUAUGAAAACAAAUAAAUAAUCAAGACUUUAUAUUUACGAGAUUUAAGUAGAAUGGUCAUUGGGUUAUUUGUAAUAUAUUUAUUAAAAAAUCCAAAAAGAAAAGAAAUUGGACGGUUCAGAUACGUCUGCAUAAUAUGCGGCCCAGAUUUGAUCCAAAAAGUGGGAGCACGGUGGCCUAUAAAUAGAUUAAUUCUUGGUAAACAUUAAUACGAGUAGCAAAGACGAUAGUAAUAUGGCGCCAUCUCAUUUGCGUUUCUUACUACUUGCACUGGUUCUGGUAUGCUCCUCCUCAAUUUAUCAUUUCUGCAUAUGCCAGCAAGUUGGAUACUCUAUACUUAUAUGAUCGUCUUUGAUGAUGUAUAUGCAGUUGGGAGCUGGUUGUUGCAGUGUCAAUGGAAUUAGGAAAGACCCAAUAGGAGAUUACUGGAGAUCUGUGAUGAAAGAUGAGCCUAUGCCUAAAGCAAUCCAAUCCCUACUACUUCCUGCUGCAAAUUCUGAUCAUCAACACCCUGCUGUCCAUUAUGAUACUGAUCACAACUUCAAAAACCCUGAUCAGUCACAACCUGAUGAACACAUCUUCGAGUACUAUAGCAAAGAUGAUGCCCUGCCAUCCAACAAAUUCGCAAAGGGGAUUGGAUCGCGACCUGAUGAAGCCCUCUUGUUCUAUAGCAAAGAUGAUGCCCUGCCAUCCAACAAAUUCGCAAAGGGGAUUGGAUCGCGACCUGAUGAAGCCCUCUUGUUCUAUAGCAAAGAUGAUGCCCUGCCAUCCAACAAAUUCGCAAAGGGGAUUGGAUCGCGACCUGAUGAAGCCCUCUUGUUCUAUAGCAAAGAUGAUGCCCUGCCAUCCAACAAAUUCGCAAAGGGGAUUGGAUCGCGACCUGAUGAAGCCCUCUUGUUCUAUAGCAAAGAUGAUGCCCCGCCAUCCAACAAAUUCGCAAAGGGGAUUGGAUCGCGACCUGAUGAAGCCCUCUUGUUCUAUAGCAAAUGAACCACGCUAGUUAUGAUAAUUGUACCUUCGAUCAUCUUUAAUAAUCUGUUAAGUAUUUGAAUAAAGGAAACCGUUGAUCGAUUACUAUAGUAUUUUCAUGAGUUUCUAUAAAAUAUGGUCUUUUUUAGCGACCGAACAUGCUCGUACAAUAACUCACACUCAUUUGAUUUUUUUCCAUUUUUUUUAUUCUGAAACUACUCUCAUUCAAGUCAAUUCGUUUGACUCAUUAUUAAUUGACGGAUGAAAGUUGGCCCAAAAUGACCUGAUCCAACGGUUAAGAUAUGUCGGAUCACCUUUCGGAUCAAUAACCGCGUUGAUCUAGUGGGUGUACCAUGUUGGUGGAAAUUCAAUCAACAAACUACAAAACGUUGCAGUAUUACUAAUUAAGUUGCUGAACUGCGUUUUGAACUUACCGAAUCCGUUUCCUAGUCUAACUGCUAGUUUUUUACUAACGAAACUCCAGAAAUCAGACCCUUCUCAGUUUGUUGAGAAGAUGACCUGAUUUCCAGGAAUGGAUUCUUCCCACGAAUCAAAUCUGUUGGAGAUGAUGAUGAUCACAUGGAGAGAGGGCGGUUGCGAUGGAGAGCUUCGAAAGGCUUAUUGCUAUAAAUAUAGCAAGUUAGCAGCUCAAGCAUUAUCAUCGCAAAUCAUACCUUCCUCAUCUCUCUGUUUACUGAAUCUCUGUUCUUUAGAUUAGUUUCCAACUCUCGAGCUAUUAUACCACGGUUAGAGAGGAUACUGCGAUUAUCUUCAGUUGCAAAGGGUAUUUCAUAUAUUCGUAAAUUCUGACAAUGCUUCGAUCAUACAUGGUCACAGUCGAGGUUUGUAUGUAUCUAGUUAUGGUUUUUAAUAAAGUAAUUAAGAAAAUUAAUGCAAUUAAUUACCCACGAUUGUUGUGUUCAUCGAUCGGCAGAUUUUGUUUGAAUUCUUAGUUCUUGCAACCACAAGACAGAAUCGUGUGUUUGCAUGGUAAGCAACCACCGCAAACAUGCACAACGUCCACACGGACUGUUUCCAGUAUAUAUGGCCAUGCAUGCAUGGGUUUACGUGGCAAAAAAUUGAUGCAUGGAUGGAAACAACAUAAUCAUAUCAUAUACAAAAGUGUCAAUUCCGGCCAUUUUUAUUUUGACAAAGAUGUGAGUUUAUUUAUAAAUAGAACAAGAUAUAAUACUGAUUAUAAAUGAUAUAAUUGAAAACUAUCCGUCCCAUUCAAGUCAAUUCGUUUGAGGAUUACGAUUUAGAAUUUAGGGCGUAAGGAAUUUAUAAAUUUGAAAUUUAAACUUUCAAAAUAUGAAUUUUUUAAUAUAGAGGAUACGAAUACAUCCAAAAUAAUCGGAACGUUCAGCAUAUAAAGAGAACAGGAAGGAACGCUGUGAAUUUGAGAAAGAGAACAUUAAGCUAAUAAGAGAUGGGUAAAGAAAGCUCCCUCAAGUUGUUGGGUUUACUCUUCAUCCUCUUUGUGGUAAUGAAUGAAUUGAGUCAAGAUCUCUUCAUAUCAUAAUUUAAUUUUGUUUAAAAGAAUGCUCGUGAUCAACUCUGUUUUUGCAAAUCCAGCUCCUCCAUUUGGUGGUGGCUGUAGAUGGAGGAAGAGACUUGCAGGGGAGCACUCAACAUCUGCAGCAUCAGCAUCAUAUGAUGAUGAUGAUGAGUCCAGCCUCAAACGUGUUCUUCAGGCUAAAAGACCUGAAACAAGGAUCCCAAAUGGAAGUCUACUUCCCCCGAAAAAACAAAGACCCGUCGAAAACCCCACAUUUCCUCACCAGGGAAGAAGCAGAUUCAAUCCCAUUCUCAUCCAAACACCUCCCUUACCUUGUCGAACUCUUCUCGUACGAGCCGGGCUCCACAGAGGCCUCUGCCGUGGCAGAGGCCCUCGCGACUUGCGAGACCAAAGCGGUCAAGGGAGAGGCCAAGCUAUGUGCCACCUCGUUGGAAUCGAUGCUCGACUUUGCUCAGCAGACGCUUGGGGGGGAGCAGCAGAAGCUCAAAGUGCUGACCACCACCCACUUGAUAAGAAGUAGUAGUGAAGGAACCACCACCCAGCAGCUUGUGCAGAAGUACACCAUUGUCGGUGAGCCGGAGGAACUGAAGGCGGCUACAAGGCAGGUGGCAUGUCACACCAUGGCAUACCCUUAUGCGCUUUUCUAUUGCCAUAGCCAGCUGUUCACUGAGAACAAAGUUUUCAUGGUUUCAUUGGAAAAUACUGACAAUGGAGACAGAGUUGAUGCUCUUGCAAUGUGUCACAUGGACACCUCUCAAUGGGCCAAAGGACAUAUCUUGUUUAAGGUGCUUGGUGUUGAGCCUGGACAAACUGAAGUCUGCCAUUUCUUCCCUGAAGAUCAUCUCGUUUUCGUUCCCGCAGCCAGAAACCAUUAACUCAAAGUCAUCCAUCUGAUGAAUUGUAAUAAGAUAGAUCGAGUUGUUGUUUUCUCAAUAUGUACCUUAAUUAGUUUGUGUUUACUUUGUAAGCUCCAGAAUGUGGGUAGCAAAUAAAAAUAAAUGCAUCCGUUUGUGCUAUAAAUUAAUCAUUCCAAUGGUUACACGAUUUAAUAACUACUAGAUUGUGUGUCGCACCAUAUCGCAAGCCUACUCUUUAAUCUGUACUGGUUUUGCUAUUGGAUUUACAACUCCUUGUAGGUUGUAUAGUGAAUAAAAAGGAAUAAUUAGCCCAGAUUACUUUACAAAACAAGUUAGACAGAAAUGAAACAAACAGUCAGGAUGGCACUCUGUCGGCUAGUCGUGCUUAGUGUUAGAUCCUGCACUUCUUCAUAUAGAAUAAGAUCAUAUCUCUUUGUUACUGGCUGCAAUUCUCAACUCUCACUUACCACUGCCCUCCAUGGAGAGAUGAAAAUAUAAUACACUCCCUUCUCUCCAGGGCCUCAAACAAGGAACAUAAUUGUACAAACCCAAAAGAACGAUUGUCCUAAGAAAUACAUCACUGCUUAAACAUUGCCUUGUUGCUGCCUUUGAUGCAAGUGAAUGUUGAGCAGAGUCGGGAGUUUGCUUACCCUGUCCACGUAACCUCCUCUACCCUGCAGAUUUUUCCUUAACUUGCUAGUUUGAGCUCUGUGAACCCUGAAUCAAGAAGAAAAUGGGGGCAUAAAGCAGAGCACUAAAGUGGAUGAUAGGAAAAAAUGACAUUUGAUGGAAAGCAAAACUACUGCAUUCGGUGAUGUACGUGUUCUAGAUCAUCACUAUCUCUCUUGAUGACCUCAGGACGAAGCAGAACAAAAACAAGUGCAGAGAGGUAUAAAACAAAGGGCAUUUGAUUGCAGGAGCUCUACAUUUCACGAAUUCUGUAAGGUUUUGGGAUGGAAACGGAAGUUUACAAAUUUAAAAAAACCCAUAGAGCAUCAGCAACACUCUAAUUCAAACAUCGGAGCCAGCCAAUUAACAACAAUCCAUAGUAAUUCCAAUCUUCUGUUUUGAUUAACAAUAAACGAAAAUUACAAACCUAACUUCUGGGAGUUUUUAAAUCUCAACAAGUACCAGAGGAGGACUCAAUUCGCUGGUUUGGGUACCACUUUGGCGGAAUCGCGAACUCCAUGUUGCUUCUUGAUCGAGUUCCUCUCGAUCUCUUUCCACUUGUUGAUGGCGAAAGUCAAGAGUACUAGCAACAUAUGAUGAUGAUGGAUAUAUAGCAAUUUUUUAUUUUCUUUCAACGUGGGAGAUUAUAAUAGGGCUCUACUUACCUCCGGCGCCGGCGAAAUACAGAACACGAACGAUCUUCGGCCCAGGGGGGCCUGCUACCUCUUCCAUAAACGCUGAAUCGCUGAACUCAACGCUGAACCGUUGACCGUAUCAGGUGGGUCUGGCAGUGAUCUCAGCUGAGCUGAGUGGAAUAAGAACGCUAGAUGAACCACUAUGCAAUACAUCAGCUUCAGGGUUUCCAAAUUGGAAAGAUAAGCAAAACCUUCACCACCAAACCCAUCAAAGUACGAUAAUUCCUUCUUCCCCUGCAUCUUUUUCAUUCAUCGCCAUUGAAGCAGUACAGCAACUUCCGGGCUUGGAAAAUCGUAGUGGGCCAAUCACUGAAAGCCCAAUCUUGUUCUCUAGAACAUUAAGUCCACGAAUCCUUAAUUCUAUACAGAACUUGCCGUUUCUUCUUCUUACUAUACUAGACUACUGACGGAACGAUUGACCACUGCAGAGCAACUAGGGAUUUCGGCCAAGAUUUCUAACUCGUGGGGCGUCGUCACCAGCUCAGCAACUAAGGUUUCUUAUUUCUCGCAACUCCGUAAGCUCUGUCAAUUCAACCCUGAAACUUUUGCUUCCCUUUACAGUUCAAUUCUCAUCUUCUAGUCACUUGCUCUGUAUAAAUUGAACCAUGGGUGUUUAUCUUCAUCUGUGUAGAUUACAACGUUUACUGGACUGGUUGCAAUAAUUGUUUCAAUAUAUAUUUUGAUGACCAUUUGAAUUGUAAUGCUUGGUCUAUUUUUGUUUUGCUUAGCUUAACAAACAGGAUAGGAUACAUAUCGUCUGGCUAGGUAUGAAUUUUUUCUACAUUUUGGUUGAUAUCUACAUAGAUACCGGUCUGGUAGUAGGAUUGAAAAGAAUACGUGGCUGAAGUAAUGGAUUCUGUAGGCGGGGGUUUUGUUUGUAACUGGUGAUUGGUCAAUGAUCCUAUAUUCUUGUGUUUUUGGUGUUGUAGGGACUGGAUUUGGUAUAUAAGAAGAUAUAUCAGUAGCACUACACUGUCAAAACACAUUGUUCAAGUUUAAGCCAGGGUUGGGGGUGUUCAUGGAUUGAUUUGUAGAGUUCUCUUCCAGUGGCUAUUAACUACUACUCGAAGCUGAAUCUCUCAAUCUUUCAUCGUCGUGCCCUUUGCUCGACGGUCUUGAAUCCAAGGUAAAGCUUUGUUACAGACUUCCGGUGAAUUCCGAUCCAUAUGGCUUGGAUGUUAUGAGUUUUCUGUAACUGGGUUUGGUUUGUUUCUUGGGAAUCAUCAUCGUUUGUCAUUGUCUUUUUGGUUUGAACUUCCUGUUGGAUGUGGAGAAUCGGUCUUUCUAAUUCUUUGUUGCUUAACUGGCAACUGAAGAAAUUAGACAACAAGGAUGAAACGGUUUGUCAUGAAUUAGGGGAAUUUAUUUUGUGUCGUCGGAUCCAGCUUCUAGGGAGUGUUUGAAUGCUUUGUUUAUAGGCAGCACUUUCAUCUUUGUAGGAGCCUUGUUAUGUCAUAUUUCUGAAUUUCUCCGCAGCUCUUGAGCUUAAUCCUUUUGGAUCGCAUUUGUGUACUUCUUGUACACUUUAUAAUGAAGUCUCUGUGCUCGCUUUUCAUCAUUACGAGUUCAUUUUUUCUUUGGUAUUGUAUUCAGCUUUGGUUUUGGCCAUGUUUUGAGUUGGCUAAGAUUGGAUUCGUGUUUUCUGCAGUUGUCGUAAAUUCUGUGAAAUGGCUGAGGAGAGUGGGAGAAAAUUGACGAGAAGGGACAGUCUUUUGGAAAUUGAGGCAAAUGCUAGAAAAUGGUGGGACGAGAAAGAUGUUUUCAGAGCUGAGCCCGGUGAAAGGCUUCCUGAACCAGGGGAGAAGUUCUUUGGAAACUUUCCAUUCCCAUACAUGAAUGGGUUUUUGCAUCUUGGACAUGCAUUCUCUCUUUCGAAACUGGAGUUUGCUGCAGCUUAUCAUAGAUUGAAGGGUGCCAAUGUUCUUCUUCCGUUUGGCUUCCACUGCACUGGCAUGCCCAUAAAGGCUUCUGCUGAUAAGCUUCGACGCGAAAUUCAACAAUUUGGUAACCCACCUGUAUUCCCUGGUCCAUCUGAGGAGCGAGAAGAACCGAAACCGGAGCAAGGGGAUGAAAUGGCAUCUGGUCAACCUAGUAAGUUUAAGGGCAAGAAGUCCAAGGCUGCAUCUAAAUCCGGUGGACAAGUGUUCCAGUGGGAGAUCAUGCGCAGUUUUGGGCUCUCUGAUAGCGAGAUUGCCAAGUUUCAGGACCCAUACCAGUGGCUAAGGUUUUUCCCACCAUUGGCAAUGGAGGAUCUCAAGGCUUUUGGACUUGGUUGUGACUGGAGGCGCUCUUUUGUGACCACUGAUAUCAACCCAUAUUUUGAUUCCUUUGUGCAGUGGCAGAUGAGGAAGCUGUAUGCUAUGGGUAAGAUUGUGAAGGAUGUUAGAUACACAAUCUACUCCCCCUUAGUUGGUCAACCGNNNNNNNNNNNNNNNNNNNNNNNNNNNNNNNNNNNNNNNNNNNNNNNNNNNNNNNNNNNNNNNNNNNNNNNNNNNNNNNNNNNNNNNNNNNNNNNNNNNNNNNNNNNNNNNNNNNNNNNNNNNNNNNNNNNNNNNNNNNNNNNNNNNNNNNNNNNNNNNNNNNNNNNNNNNNNNNNNNNNNNNNNNNNNNNNNNNNNNNNNNNNNNNNNNNNNNNNNNNNNNNNNNNNNNNNNNNNNNNNNNNNNNNNNNNNNNNNNNNNNNNNNNNNNNNNNNNNNNNNNNNNNNNNNNNNNNNNNNNNNNNNNNNNNNNNNNNNNNNNNNNNNNNNNNNNNNNNNNNNNNNNNNNNNNNNNNNNNNNNNNNNNNNNNNNNNNNNNNNNNNNNNNNNNNNNNNNNNNNNNNNNNNNNNNNNNNNNNNNNNNNNNNNNNNNNNNNNNNNNNNNNNNNNNNNNNNNNNNNNNNNNNNNNNNNNNNNNNNNNNNNNNNNNNNNNNNNNNNNNNNNNNNNNNNNNNNNNNNNNNNNNNNNNNNNNNNNNNNNNNNNNNNNNNNNNNNNNNNNNNNNNNNNNNNNNNNNNNNNNNNNNNNNNNNNNNNNNNNNNNNNNNNNNNNNNNNNNNNNNNNNNNNNNNNNNNNNNNNNNNNNNNNNNNNNNNNNNNNNNNNNNNNNNNNNNNNNNNNNNNNNNNNNNNNNNNNNNNNNNNNNNNNNNNNNNNNNNNNNNNNNNNNNNNNNNNNNNNNNNNNNNNNNNNNNNNNNNNNNNNNNNNNNNNNNNNNNNNNNNNNNNNNNNNNNNNNNNNNNNNNNNNNNNNNNNNNNNNNNNNNNNNNNNNNNNNNNNNNNNNNNNNNNNNNNNNNNNNNNNNNNNNNNNNNNNNNNNNNNNNNNNNNNNNNNNNNNNNNNNNNNNNNNNNNNNNNNNNNNNNNNNNNNNNNNNNNNNNNNNNNNNNNNNNNNNNNNNNNNNNNNNNNNNNNNNNNNNNNNNNNNNNNNNNNNNNNNNNNNNNNNNNNNNNNNNNNNNNNNNNNNNNNNNNNNNNNNNNNNNNNNNNNNNNNNNNNNNNNNNNNNNNNNNNNNNNNNNNNNNNNNNNNNNNNNNNNNNNNNNNNNNNNNNNNNNNNNNNNNNNNNNNNNNNNNNNNNNNNNNNNNNNNNNNNNNNNNNNNNNNNNNNNNNNNNNNNNNNNNNNNNNNNNNNNNNNNNNNNNNNNNNNNNNNNNNNNNNNNNNNNNNNNNNNNNNNNNNNNNNNNNNNNNNNNNNNNNNNNNNNNNNNNNNNNNNNNNNNNNNNNNNNNNNNNNNNNNNNNNNNNNNNNNNNNNNNNNNNNNNNNNNNNNNNNNNNNNNNNNNNNNNNNNNNNNNNNNNNNNNNNNNNNNNNNNNNNNNNNNNNNNNNNNNNNNNNNNNNNNNNNNNNNNNNNNNNNNNNNNNNNNNNNNNNNNNNNNNNNNNNNNNNNNNNNNNNNNNNNNNNNNNNNNNNNNNNNNNNNNNNNNNNNNNNNNNNNNNNNNNNNNNNNNNNNNNNNNNNNNNNNNNNNNNNNNNNNNNNNNNNNNNNNNNNNNNNNNGUCCAAGCUGCAGAAUCCACUCUGAGGACUGGUCCUCCAUCAACUUAUGCCGAUAAGGUGUUUGAGAAUGAGAUAAACAUUGCAGUUAAGAUGACUGAGCAGAAUUACAGUGAUUGUAUGUUUAGAGAGGCAUUGAAGACCGGAUUUUACGAUCUUCAGACAGCCAGAGACGAGUAUAGAUUCUCAUGUGGUAGCGGUGGCAUGAACCGUGACCUAGUUUUGCGGUUUAUGGAUGUACAGACUCGUCUCAUCACUCCUAUUUGUCCACACUAUGGAGGACACGCAUGGAGGGGGCUUUUAAAGAAGGAAGGGGAUGCGGUUAAAGCUGAUAGCGAGACUCGAACUUUUGCACCCAAUGAGGAGAUAUUAAAGGCGUUGCAGGAGAGUCCACUAGGGCAAGCUGGGAACUUUAAGCAAGUCCAGAAGCAGUACAUGCCAUUCUUGAGAUUCAAAAAGGAUGAAGCGGUUGCGAUUGGCGCUCAGGCAUUGGAUCUGAAGCUACCGUUCGGGGAGAUUGACGUCCUGAAGGAGAACCUGGAGUUGAUCAAGAGACAACUCGGACUUGAAGAGGUCGAAGUCAUGUCUGCAUCGGUUCCCAAUCACCGUGCUCGAGCUGGCUCCCUCGCCAACCUCUUGACUCAGAAUCCCCCAUCACCUGGAAACCCCACGGCUAUCUUCUUGACCAGGUCAGUCAAAACCCCAAUUCGCACCGAAUGAUGGCAGCUACCCUUUAUUCUUUAUCAGUCUCGAUUUCAGAACUUGUGCAUGAUUUCUCAUUGUUUUCUAUUCAUAGGUAGGUAGUGAAUUCCAGGGAAGUGUCACAAGGGAGAAAGACAGAACCGUUUGCUUUUGAAAGAGGAGAAGACGUUUAAUGUUUACUUUGUUUUUGUUGAUGUUCUGGAUUCAAAUGAUUCUGUUUUUGGUCUGAACUUCCUUGGAAUGGUUUUGACGACGUUUGUUUCCGGGCACUGUAACCCAACCACAUUUCUUGCAUGUUAACAGAAUCUGAGAAGAGUAAUUGUCAAGAGAGUUUUUUAAUAUGGUGUGUGUCUGUGGUCUGUUUUGUGCUGUGUCGGAGUUGUCUACCGAACUCAGAUAGUGCAUUUGUCUGUCAAUCCUUUAAAAUCGGAGUAACUGUAGAUAAUGCAUUUGUCAUAACACAAAAGUUUCAGCGUCUCUCGGUUGGUCGAAGCUGUGUUUUUGCUGCAAAUUGCAAGGGCUUGGCGCACCCCACCAAUACCCAGUUUAAUGUUUGUGUUGUUUCUAUUUGCUCCCGAAUCAAUAGCCAGUUCAGUAAUUGCGUUUGUUUUACUUCUCCUGAAUUAAGCACAUCAAUGGCAUAACGAAAGGUCAUUCAUCCUUUGGCUGCAUCAUAUGAAAACAACUACAACUUCUCCUUUCGAAAAAUUUCGCAGCCUUGCAGUACAUAGCGAACAAUUCUUUCACAUUUUACUAGAGAAUACCUUGUGUGAAUGCUGCUCUAUAGAGGCAUACUGUUCUAGACGUCAGCGGCCUACUUUGUUUGUUGUGUAUGUAACCCGGCCACUGUUGGUACAAACGUACACUUGAGUUUUUGUCCUCAGGCUGUAUAGACAUCUCGGGAUUGGAGAAUGCCAUUAUUCAUGAUAAUCAAAGUCGAUAGUUUUUAUCGAAUGUUAUGAACUCGGGUGAUGUGUACCUUUUUUCAAGGACUCAAUCUUAGGUGCUAGGAUAUUGCACUGCUGGGUCGUUGAGAAACUUUCACCUUUAAUCUCCAGUUUAAUGUAUACAGACAAGGCAAGUCUGAAUGGGCCAGUCGGUAUAUACCGCAUUGGAGAAUGGGUCAGUGGCUGAUCAAGAAGAGUCAUGGCCUGGAUCAGUGACCUCCAUUGCACGUACUGGAGGAGUGCUAUUCUAAGGUCUUCCCAUAGAGGAAGAGCCUACGUCAUAAUUUGUUGUAGCGGAGGCGUGCGUUCGCACUGCCCGUACCCAGUUUCUCAGUUCCAGCCCGGAUGAACACGAUACAAACCCAGAUUAUUUGUGCUGAUUUUUUAUGUGAUCAAAUUUUGUCUGACAUAAAGAGGGUGGCAGUAGUAACUUGUAUACCACAUUUCGGAAAUGAUAAUAGGGCAUGCUCCCUGGGCUAUGCUGGACCCUAUCAAAUGCAUCAACUCAUGCAGCCUUGCAGUGAGUACAUAGAGAAUUAUUCUUUCGCCUUUUACUAUAGAAUACUAUGUAUGCGCGUACACUGCUCAAUAGAGGCAUACGUGUAUUUUUUGAGGGCUUGUUCAUUAACUGGAUCAGCCCAACAUUAUUAAUGCGAAAUAUUUUGUUCUAGCAUCCUGCUAAGAUACUCGCAUUGUGCUGCAUUUGUUUGUCCUCACUUUUGUCGAAAAUUGCUAUAGACUCUAGUUACGGGUGGACUGCAACAGCUCUUCCGUCUGAUAAGACUGUUUCUGAGCUAUGUCCCUACUGCAUUCCCUACAAUGACUUGCCAGUAAGGUGACUUUGAGUUCGUUACGGAAGAUAUAAUUGUCGUUAUGGAAUGGCAGUUGUUCCUUACGUAACGAACUCAAAGUCACCUUACUUUGAGUUAAGACAAGUCAUUGUAGGGAAUGUCUUUCUCUGCUUGGAGAUUUAAACAUGUUAACUUACAACUACUCAUACUGCAAACGACAAUCUCCAAACUCCCUUUCAGGAACUGACUAAGAAUACAGAAAAAACUCUUAACAUUCUGAAAUUCUGUUAACAACGCAGAAAGUGAAUAACAAAUAAUACAGCAUCAUCCACCAAGUUUACCUCUGUUCGGAUACCUUACCAGGAUGAUGAGGAAAAUACAGUGGAGUGCCUAGGGAAUCAAUGUCUGUGUUGUUUCAGCUGAGUCUCCCACCGCCGAAAAGCUUCAAGAACGGCGAAUAAACUAGUGCAAACACAACUUGCAAAGACAUCUUUUUCGUUUGAAGCACUUGUUACGUACAAACCAGAACUCCAAAUUGAAGGAGACUUGAUGUGGUUGUAAAAGACUGCGGAGUUAAAUAUUUUUUCGAGAUGAUGUAGAAAUAACUGUGAUUUGCAGAACACGAAACGGAGAACCAAGAAAAUAAACAAAUGUUCAUGCUUUGGUUAUGAAGAUCAGCACACUAGCUGUCUAUAGUCAUUGCAGAAAUAAACAAGCUGUAAAAGGGAAUACCUUAUUAAACUUUAUUGUCUCAGUUAAUACUUACAUAUGACUAGACAAGAUACAUUCUGCACUUCUACACAUAGAAUUAGACCCUAUUUAUCUCUCUCUGUGUUAAUAAUCAAAUCUUCUGCUUACAUUCUGAUACUGCCUGCAAUUCUUAAAUCUCACUUAACCACUGCCCUCCAUGGAGAUGAAAAUAGAAUUCAUUCCCUUCUCUUCAGGGCCUCAAACAACAGUGGCAAAUGAACAUAAUAAUUGUACACCCCCAACAGAAACCAGACACAAUGGUGAAUGAAUGAUCAUCCUUCAAGUAGAUGGACUGGCUAAAAUGAGCUAAUGGAGGGAGCUGCUAUUUCAUCAGAUCUAGGAACACGAAACCGUUCCACAAGCUGUGCAGAAGCAUGGGCGGCAGCAAGUUCCUCGACCUUGCAAAAAUGACGCCCAUAACCACGCCGAUGAAUAUAAGGGGUAGCAUCCUCUGUACAUUGAAAUGAGCAAGCGCAAAGGCGACCGAGCUCACCAAGAUAGCACACCAUACCGGCAUGUAUUUCGUCAAGGACGGCAGGAGGAAGCCCCGGAAGACGAUUUCCUCCAGACCUUGCAAAAACAACGCCCAUAACCACGCCGAGGAAUAUAAGGGGUAGCAUCCUCUGUACAUUGAAAUGAGCAAGCGCAAAGGCGACCGAGCUCACCAAGAUAGCACACCAUACCGGCAUGUAUUUCGUCAAGGACGGCAGGAGGAAGCCCCGGAAGACGAUUUCCUCCCAUAACGGUGCGCAAACGGAUACCACCAUUGCGUAAAUAGCCAUCGCCACCGGAUCUCGUGCUGCGAUCGAUUGCUCCACACUCGAGAGCGUCGCGGGUGCGGAGGGAAGAAUGGGCAGUAGGCUGAGAUUGAAUUGCGAGAGCCGGUUGACAAGGGGAAAUGUAAGGCACCCGAGAGCUACAUCGAUCAUCCAGUUCCCUUUUAGGCUGAAUCUAAACCAAUCGGAUGAAAGGGGACGGAACCUUGAAAGGCAACGAAGAAGGAUCGCGAUGCCGGCGAGACCUUCGGUGACAUCGGUUACUAGGCUGAAUAAGGCUUGUCCUCUGAAUGUCAGUGAUUCUUUGUUCAAUCCUGCCAUGUGGGCUGCAAAAGGGACCACCCAGGACCCUAUGAACCAGAAUGAGACAACCCAUAAAAGCAUUACCUGCAUUAAGAUGAAACAUUGUCAUUGACCUCAUGUUACCUGGAUAAGAUGAGUGGAUAAUAUCAAAUAUGUUACCUGGAUUAUGGUAUCUGCACUCCAUGGUACAGUCCAUCGACUUCCAACUGCUUUCCGCACUACACCUACUGCCUGGAAAUGGUGAAUAGUAGUUAGGUUUCCAAUAUCCUACCGGACUUUAACAAUGUGGAGUCAAUGUCCACAACUCCUAUCCUAUUGAAAGCAAUGAAUACCGAACCACAAGCUUUUGAUUCUAAAAUGUGUAGGAAGUAAGAAACACAGGCUCGUGUACUCUUGUACUUCAAUAUCGAAAGGGUGGCUUAACAUUGUUUCUCAAAAGAUACCACACUUUUAAAUAAAAAAGGAACAACUCUCCACAAAAUUAUACAGCCAUAAAUAAGGAGGUUGAUUUCCAUAUUCCUAUGGGAACAGCGAUCUGAUGAAAGCAAAGAAUAUGAAACUGUCAUAAGAUUCGACAAGAAACUGGCGUCUACUCCAUUUUCCUUGGUAAAUUAUUCGACACAAUCAAAAGUCAUCACAGACAUUUCCAUUAAUAGAGACGAACUGUCUCAUACUUGCACGUUGAAAUCACAGCAAGAAGCAGAUCGAUAGCAAUCCUUUCACUAAAGCAGGAAAGCAAAAACCAUCCUACAAAGCUCAACAAGAAAACACACCUUUUUAAAGCUCAAUAUCCAAUCUCUUUCAGCAUGAGUAGACCUAGUAGCAGGAAGUUCAGGUUCUGGCUUCAAAGGCUCUUCAGGAAGAAAGGGCUCAAAGCCAUCAGACUUAGUAGCAGGGGUAAAAUCUUCUUGUCUAAAACACGAAACCCUCCAUCUCUGAAGAAACCAAACAGAGUUAAUCAGGCAAAAACAAAAACCACCUACGUUUUUGCAUAAUCAACGAAAACUAACCAAAUGAGAUACCAAUCAUUAAUCAAUUAGCUUCCAUCAUCGAAUUGAAUGCAAAAAAAGUUAACAACAGAACGGAACCUUAUAGGAAGAUAAAAUUACAUUCUUGUUCAGCUUGGAAUUGGAUUGAAGGAUACUUGGUUUCCUAGCUGAAAGAGACGAGCUUCCAGGGCGGCUAAGAGCAGUAAGCUUCCUGGAAAGUGAAGGAACGAGAAACGGGCGAUGAGAUAAGGAUUGAGAGCAACAGUAGCUCAACAUCUAGGAACACGAAUUAGAAACCCCAAUCAAUCCGCAUCACUAAGGGGAAUUCGAGCUUGAUCGGACGGGGAAAUAAUUUCCGGUAUGAAGAAUCGAACAAAAAGGGAAGGAACGACGAAAGCCCUAAUUGGGGAGAGGUAAAUGGUAGUGGUAUUUGGAGGAAGGAAGGCGGAAGGAUAAAGGCUUAAGGCUGCGUUUGGCAGUUGGAAUUUGAAGUAGGUAGACUGUAAAAACAUAACUUAAAAGCCAUUUUUACAUGUGUAACAUGUUUUAGAUCAUAUAAAAUGAGAAAAACUUUCUUUUUUCUAUCAUGGAUCAUUUGCACAAUGUACCGUUUUUCGGGGACAUUUGACGAGAGUGAUACGUACACUAUUUCGUAAAAACCAAAUGCUAUAAACUUCAAUCAUACUUUACGGGUAGUUUUCGGGGCGAGAAUGAUUGGUUCACUGUCUUGCAAGUUGUAACAACCAAUUGCCUCUUGUGUGAGAUUUUAAUUCGAAAUGCAAGCAUUACGUCGACGUCUUACUAAAUGCUUAAUCACGAAUAAAACAUAAUGUUGUGAUUGAUGACUAAGAAAGAUAUGACAACCCGAAACUAUAUUAGGGAAGAUAACUCUGUGAAUGAAAUUACAGGUCCAACCAUACGGACAAGAGAUGUUGUAUCGGCGGUACUUAAUAGGGGACUAUAAAAGAAGAUGGUGAACACUACGGUGGCACUUAAAUUAGUUUCAUAACGAACUCACGAUUUGUCUACCGAAAAGAAUGAGCAGGAUAAACAUCAGAUGAGCCCUCAUUAAUGAAACCUUUGAUGUUCUUGACAGUAUAUAUGGAUGAAAUAUCCAGUAGUUGUGUGACACAUCUGUCUGAUUCUUCUUCCCAACUUUGCUACUUUGGGAAGCACCAGAAAAUACCCAGUUCAGCUCCCACAAAAAUAAGCCAAGGAAGGAAACAGCGAGACCAAGAUAAGCAAAUUCGCACAGUUUUACAAUGAGAGGCUCACGAGGAGUAAGAAGAGAAACGCCAGGAUAUUAGCAACUGGAUUUGCUGCGUAGAACCCCGACCUCCAGCCCUUUAUAAACGAGAACGUCAAACCUAAUAUAAUCACUACCUGCAUUAAUGGAGAGGCCUCAUUUGUUAAAAGCUCAGAGUAUGAUUCUCAAAAGUACACAUAAUUGCACAGAAGCUAAAGAGACUGUAAGUUCGUAAUAUAUAAACUAUUGAAUAGAAGAAAAACUUAGAAAGGCUCCAUGAAAGUUUCAGCAGAUUUCUCAGGUAAAAUCUUGUUACUUUUAUAUUGCAACAUUGCAGGGAAGAAAAUAUAUGAAGCAGAGACGACCUUAUGAUGAUCCUUGUGCCGUGGUACUCGUAUUGCUAACAAAGGACAAUAGUUUCGAAGACAACAAACUAACACCAAUGCAGUUCUGUAAUCUUAUUCAUUUCUGAAGAACAUCCAAGACUUCCCAUCUCCCAUUUUCUAGUACACAAUUCAUUUGAUAACUGAGUGGAAAAUCUUUACCUGGAAAAACAUAUAUAGAGCCCAUUCCUCAGUAAGUAGAAGUAUAAUUAUUUCCCGUACCAAGUCCACUGCCUGGAAAUGGAGUUAUAGUAGUUAGGUUUCCAUAACUUCAUGAAAAGAAUAGAGACUGAUGUCCACAACUCCUAUCUUACUGAAAACAGCGAAUACCGAAUUGCAAGCUCUUGAUUCUCAUGUGUAGAAAGGAACAAACAUAGAUUCAUGUAGUCCAAUAGUCUCAUAAUGCAAUCACAAUGAGAAGCCGUUUCAUAGCAAUCCUUCACUACAUCAGCAAGCAAAACCUUCCAUCAACUCAACAUAAACACUUACACACCUGUUGAAAUUUCAGCAUCCAACCCUUCUUAGGAUUAGUGGAACUAGUAACUUCAGGUUCUGGCUUCAAUGGCUCGUCGGGAAGCAAGUUCUCAACACCAUCGGAGUUGGGACUUGCAGGGGGGAAAGCUGCUUGGCUAGAACAAGAAACCCUCCAUUUCUGAAAGCAUCAGACCAAACAAACUAAUCAGGCAAACCUGCCUACGUCUGAAUCAUCAUAGAAAGUUAUAAGAUGAGAUAACAGUCACCAAUCAUUUCCCCCCAUUACCCACAAACCAUCAAUCCAGUAACUUAAACCGAGUGAGGUGAAUCUUCUAACUAAGUGAAGUGAUUAAUCAGCUUGCAUCAUCUAAUUGACAGUAAAAACAGCUAAAAGAACGGAACUUUCGUAAAGAUAAGAUUACAUUCUUGUGAAGCUUGGAACUGGGUUGGAGGAUCGCCGGAUUCCUAGCUGCGCUGCAAGGACGGUGCUUAAGAACGGUAAACUGAGUGGAAAAUGAAGGGACGAGAGUCGGGGGAUGAGAGCAGCAGUAGCUCAACAUUUGGGAACACGAACAGAAAUCCCCUAGUAGCUGUUACAGGAAUCGGAUUGAAGUGAACAAAGGGAAGCCCUAAUCGGGAGAUGUAAUGUAACGGUGGUGGAAUGGAUAAACACUUGAGGCCGCUUUUUGCAGUUCCUGGUAAUUUCAAAUUUGUUGGAUAUAGUUGUCAAAACUGGUUAAUUCGAUAUAACCAAUCAGCUAACCGGUUUGGUAAAUUGGUUAAAUCAAUAUAGCUAAUAAGUAAUAUAAAAUUUAAAAUUUAAAAAAUCUUUUGUUUGUGAAGGAUAAAAUUAUUUUUCCGGGUAAAGACAUCCACAAGAGCAAUUCUAUUGGACCGACUAAGCCAUUAAAAACAAAUUAACCAAAAAAAUUAAGUAUUUAAAUCAACUUAAUCACACUGAUUAAUUCAAAUUGACCGAACGAAACCAAUUAAAAUGGUUACCUUGAUAACCAGUCUAGUUUGAAAGCCGCAUAAAAAAGAACAUGAAAGUAAACUUUUAUUUGCAUACAUUUAUUUCAAUUAUCCACAGAAAUUUCUGCAGCUUUUUACAUACGACUGUUGCUUCAUUCAACCACUCCAGGACUGAAGUAUGUUCAUCAGCCUCGCGUUUAGGACUAGAAAAGGAAGUAAAUUCACAAAAUUUUACAUUCAGAUUAGAGCCAAAAAAUGAACAGCAUAAACAACAGAUGAGCCCCUUAAUACAUAAACUAUGCCAUUACAAUAAAGCUUCCAUGUUCUUGACAUUAUUUGGAUGAAAAAUCUAGUUGUAUUACACAAUAUCUUUCUGAUUCUUCAAUCCACAGAACCAACUCCUCAUUCCCAACUUUGCAACGCGGGAAGUACCAGAAAAUAAAAACCAGUGGGAGAAGGUUCGAUUUUACAGCGAGUAGUUCAUACCAACCUCGAUCAACGAGGUCUGAGGAAUCGACAGAGUCACAGAAGGAGCUCUGCAGUUCUUCCUCAAGAAAGAGUAGACAAUGUUGACCAGAAACCUCUUCAGGAAAGGCGAGUUCCACUUCGCCUUGCUGUUCGAAUGCCCUAUGACGUAUGCCACCCCGAAGUUCUUAGCAUCCAUCAGCUUCAUCACUUCAUCUUUCACGUACGAGUCCUUGUAGCUCGCGUCCAAUAGCUUCAGCUGGAUUCUACGUCGAUACGUUAGCUUCGGUGCUUCCUGCUCGUCGUACAUGGACUUCAGCUUCUGCAGUGUUGCCGAUUUGCUGCUGGUUAUGUUCAGCGACUUGCUGCUCUCUCCGAUGCCGUUAGACUGAGAAAUCCCGAACCUUUUUCCGAAAUUCUCGGAUGAUUUCACGACUGCCAAACGACCCCCCAUCGAACCAUCGGGAGUACCGCAACCUUCUGCUUCGAGCUGGAUGAACUCGGCUAUGCUCAUUAUUAGGGCGUUCUCGAAGUCAUCCUCGACCUCGUUAUCGUUGACAUCUUUGUAACCGUUUUGAACGAUGCAACGGUACAUUCUGUAGGAUUUGGGGCCGAUUCUUCCGACGAGAUAUCGUUCCUUUUGGGGGACGAAAGGAACGGGGACAGUCUUGUUGCAGACGAACACAAUCACUUGGUAAAAUGCCGGUAGAUUGGUGAGGAAAUGGGAGAAAGUGGCUGGAACUCCGUUUGCUAAGUGAGUGUAGAUGAGUCCUAUUCCGGGGAUCCUUACAAUGCCGAGAUCGGAACCGAGGGUGAGGAUCCAUUUCAUCGGCAAUUUGUGGUGUUGAUCGUAAAUGUACUUCUUCCUGCUACCGUAGUGCCAAACGAACAUGGUGAACAAAAAGACGGCAGAGAGCACGAGGGGAACCCAUCCCCCUUGCAGGAUUCUUACGUACGAUGAAAAGAGAAAGAUGAUCUCGAUUGUCCCAAAGAAUAAGAAGAAUGAAACAGCAAGCAUCAAUCCCUUGUGCCAUACAAAGUAGAUUGCCAAAGACAUCAGGCAAGUCGUAAUGAAUAUCAGUGUCAUUGAUGCUAUCCCUGAAAAAUCGACAGUACAAUUUGUUAGUGCCUCUCUUGUGGCAAUAGCAGUUUAAUUGUAAAUGAGGUCAUUUAGGUAAGAACUCAAACAUCAGCUGUUAUAACUAUUACUUAUCAACUGCGCAAAUCGAAAUAUACAAUUCAGCAAAAAUAUUCAGAACAUUUGUUAUCAAACGUCAUCUGCAUUAUCAGCAUGAGAAGGACUAACCAUAAGCGUUUCCAAUACGAGUUGUAUCUUGAGAACCGAGAGUGACUGCCGAACAGAGAAUCAUGAGAAUCCAGUUUAUCUCAGGGAUGUAUAUUUGACGAUCAAUCCACUUUGUUUUGUGAACAAUCUUUACACGAGGGAAACACCCUAGCGCAUGGCAUUGUUUGACCGCAGUAAAUGUAGCACAUAGCACAGCUUGACUAACAACCACUGUUGCCAGAAUUGCUAUCACCAAAAUGGGCCAGAAAAAUUGCUCUGCAUAUAAAUGAAAACACCAAUGAGGUCAUCCGCAUGCCUCACAAGUUGCCAAACAUCGUAAGCUUACAAAUGACACUGUUAUAUAUUCUCAAAGCACUAAACUACACUGGUCCAAAUGAUUUCUGAACGAAGUCGGAAAUCGAGAUAGUAGGGGAGGAGUGAAGGACUGAUUCUUGUUGUAACGUACCUGGAACUGAAGCGUAGAAGCUCAAGGAUAUUGCAGAAAAAUUCUUUGAAAGAAAUGCAGCCUGUCCCAUAUAUUGGAGCACUAAACAUGGGUACACAACAAAACAAUACGCAACCUGCAAAAAGCAAUAAAUGCUAUUACUUUGAAACAGAAGGAAAAGAUGGAGAGACUAGGUAUAUCUUAUUUGGCAAGAAAUAGUUGCAAAAUUAAAUUUACAACAUACCCUAAUUGAUGAAGCUGAGAAUUGGCCGAGAUCCGUAAACAAAAUAUCAAUUCCUGCAGUUAAAAGGCAUAAGCUUUACCCCAUAAUAAAGCGUAGGAAACCAUCCCAUAAUGAAACGGAAUAUUACCAGUAAUACAUAAAAGAGCUCCUCCAAGAGAAAUCCAGCCAUCAAUGCCAGUGAGUCGGAAGAACUUGUAGAUGUAUACUGGAGAAAGGGCCUCGUAUAUUCUAGGAUUCCAGAGAAUGAUAUUAUAGACACCAAGAGCAGCGCUGGACAACAACCAGAGAAUGAUAACUGGAGAAAAGAUGAAAGCCACCUUAUGCGUGCCUUGAUAUUGCAAGACGAAAAGGCUGACUAGUAAAAUGCCAGCAAUGACCACCAUGAUUCCUGUAUGUAUAAAUGUGUCAGUAUUUUAAGCAUUCCAUCAGAAGAUGAAACAUGAGUUUAAUUUUGAUGGACGGAGUACAAAUUUAUAGAAGAAUAUUAGGUGCUUUGACUAGUUUCAAGUUUUAUCCUCAUGCCUUUCAUGUUCCAACAAUACUAAAAUCAUUAAGAAGAACAUGCUCCGUAAGAUAAUAUUCUUGUAAUAUAGGAAUGGAAUUUGGAAACCAGACAGAGUAAUAUAUCAAACAUAAAUGAAGCUAGUGCACGAUGAGCAUCAUGCUGCACAUUAAAGAAUGGCUAUCAAUGGGCCACGGAAAUGCAUUAAGCUAAGCUACUUCAGCAGAAGCAAAGGUCAUAAAUACUCACUGUGAUUCAGAUCGUUUGACUGAACUUUGAGGCCUUCAAUGGAUGAAACAACUGCAGACGAGCAACUAUCAAGCAAUAAAGCAAAAGAAAUAACCAGGUGAAGGUAAAACUCAUGAAAGAAAAAAAAAAGAACUCACCAGAAAUUGCUGGUGUAAGGACGCCUAGAGUCAUGGCCAUGCUAGCACCCAUCAGCACCAGCACAAGUAGGGCUAACUUUGACUUCUUAUCUCUAUCGGUAAUCCUUUUGAACGAAGAGGCAGGCACGCUUUUAUUAGAGUAUCCUGCAUGCUGAUAUGUCGAAAGCUCCUCAUCUGAAGCUUGUUGAUUAGGGAGCAAGGAAAACUUCCCAUGCCUACAAAGAAGUGAAUAUAAAGCAAAAAUCCCACCUGCAAAAAUCAGAAAAAUGGGAUCAUAAUGUCUCUAUUUGGCCAAAUGGAAAGGCGAAAAGACAAUAACAAACAAAUGAUAUGAUCAUUCAGAAGUUGAUCAGUUCUUUACCUUCACCGUUAUCGUUUACACUGAGCAUGAAGACAGCAUAUUUAAACAACGAAAAGAAAGAGAGGGUCCAAAAGAUGACGGAGAAAGCCCCGAAAACUGCCUCUUCGGUUCGAUAAUGGCGCAACCUUCCCGCAAAUGCACUUCUAUAAACAUACAGAGGGGAAGUUGCCAAGUCUCCAAACACUAUGCCAAUACUCUGAUACACUAACAAAAGAAAAUGCUUGCUCCGAGCCUUAUUCUCAUCCUGCUUAAACAACAAAAAAUUCAGCAUCAUUAGCAUGCUGACAACAACUAAUCCUCUUCUAAGUUCAUCUUCGGAGUCUCAAUCAAGCUCAAUGCAACAGCUGACAAGCACAAAAAUGCCACCUUUUCAUACAAUUUGAUAAUUUUAUAGAUUCAACAUCAAAGCAUGGUUUAAAGUACCCAUCAGAAACUCAAAACUCAGAAGUCCUAAAAUGGAAAGGAAGAAUCUAUCAAUAACAUCAAAUACUGGGUAAAGACUUGCGCAAGAUUUCAAUUUCCUGGAUGCGGGUAGUAAAACAAACAAAAUAAAACUCCCCACAUAACCCAAAUUCCAUCAUCUUCCUAUGGAUUGCACGAGCAGGAGAUAUGGAAAAUGCAGCGGGAUGAGCAAUUCGAAGGUGGAAAGAUAUAGAUAGAGGCAGGUUACCAUGUUUUUGUCGGAACUCGGAAGGAAGAAUAACAACCAGCAGUGUGGAGUCGAAAGCAAUCUGAUAAAUUUAUUUGGUUGGUAAGGGUGGUUGAACUUUGGCCUGGUUUUAUUUGAUCAAACCAUUCCGAUUUAAAGCAGAGAUUUUUGUUCUGGGUUUGCUUUUUAGGUUUCGGAGAUUCAUCGUAGUCUGUAUCUGGAUAAGAGUACUACUAGGGCUCCAUGAUUGGAUCAAAGAUGAUGGAAUUCUUUACAAAUAUUAAAAGUUUCUACAGUUUUAUCGAGUAAAUAUUUUAGUUUGGGUGUGGAAUUUUUUUUAAAAAAAGGUAUAAACCCAAGCAAAUUAUAUAAAUUUUCCUUAUAUUAUAAGAUGUGUAGCGAUAAAAUAAUAAACUGAAUAUUAGUAGGUAGUUCAAAACAAACCUGAACAUUUUCAACUUUAAUAGGUCAAUUUCGAUCAAAUAUUUCACGAAAGUUAGUGAAUUUGGAAGAAUAAUGGUAUGUGAGCUUACCGUUUCCGAGCAAUUGAAUCACGACCCGCAAUCAAACUGCAAUGAUACCUUCAUGUACUCUUUCUCUCAAACAAUAUGCAACCCAAUUACAACCGCUCUCAAUUAGGUCCCGAUAAUCGAAUGGAUUUCUACGUUAAUGGAAUAUGUUACCAAGCAGCAUCCAACAGAAUUGGAAUGAUGAUAAUCUCAUAUAAAUUUAGAUAUGGGUAAAUCAUAUGUGAGCAUAUUAAUUUGGGUAUGUUUCGUCUUUAAUUUUUACGAUCUAUCUAUUAGGAUGAUUAUAAUGCCAUCAUGAAUAUUGUUAUCACUUAAGUGUGUCACUCUCCAUUCUAACGGCUCAAUCACUUAGCUAUUAUUUUACAUUCAACGUCCCAUGAUAUUUGGAAGAAAAUUGGACUAUUAUUCGAAUAAAAAUUACAUGAAAAAUUGAAACUAACCAUUACCGAAAAAUCAUUUAGCUAUUAUUUUGCAUUCAACGUCCUAUGAUCUUUGGAUGGAAAUUAAAGUAUUAAUCGAAUAAAAAUUACAUGGAAAAUUGAAGCUAACUACUACCGGAAAAUAUACUAACAGAAUGGAAUAGCUCGGUGCCUGUGUAGACAGUAAGUUUUAAAAAGAAUGCGUCUGCCGGGAGUCGAACCCGGGUCUAUUGCUUGGAAGGCAAUUAUCCUAACCGUUGGACUACAAACGCUGAAUGUUGAGACGAGACUUAAAGCUUUAUUCUACAAUUAGUAUGGCAUAUGCUAUACUUGAAGUUGCAAAUGUGCAAGGGAAAGUUUUCUCUGCUAGCUAGCUGCAAAAGGGAGAUUUUACAUGUCUAUGAUCGAAACACGUUCGGUGUCUGGGAUACUCGAGUAAUCGUAAAUGGUGAGCCUGGUAGGGUUUGAGUUCCCCUGAUGCAUUCAUUGCAUGUUCAGUGUUUUGAGUGAUAUAUCAUUCAGCCAACACAGUAACACACUGCUAAAAAACCAAUCCCUUUCCCCAAGAUAUGGCAAGAAUUACAACUCAUUGCUAAAAUUCAAUGUAGUAAGGAAUUAGUCAGUGUCCCAUGAUGGCUGAGAUCAUACAAAGUCAAGCUGGUCUUGUAAUGGUGGCAGAAUCAGAAUCAUAUUAUACUCAUAAACCUGACAGAUAAGUCUCAGGGUUUGGUUGCCUGCUAUAAACUUUUUCAUGAAUUAAUGAAGCCAGCAACUGAGGGAGGUCGGAUUCUGAUAUAGUGAUGUCUUAAUCAUUCACUUCGUCACUUGGGAACAUAUUCCUCAACUUGUUCCCAUUGUGCAUCAGUUCAUCACUGAUUGUUCACUGAAUAAUGCAGGAAAAGAACGCAUUGAUUUCGCGUUUUCUCCGCGUCUAUGACGAUUAAAGGAAGCUAAUGAACCAUCUCAUUAUGGAAGAUUUGAAGAGAUACCUUCAAACAAAAUGACUGACAGAAGGAAUGGAAUUAUGUUCUUUGAAACGGUUCUAUAAAUAUAACCAUGUUAGGAUUGUUCCAGCAUAUUUAUGAUUCCUUAAUCUCCUGGAAAAUUUCUAUUGCUAAGAAACAACAACUUAUGCUGUCAAAACAUCAACCAAGUUUUGUGUUAGGAUAUAGUUACCAUGCAUCUUGACUUCCAUAUUUUCAAGAUUUUAUUCUAUCGUAUCAUGUUAUUAAAUACCAUGUCCGGAACCAUUUUGUUCCAAUAGCUCAAGUUAUUGAAAGAAGGUGUAGAACUGAUCUUAUACCGUUCUUUUACACCGACCUGACUUUGUUCCCUUCAUCCCCCAACCUUUAAAUUGCUCUCUCUCUCUCUCUUAGCCAAUUCUUAAUCCCACCACAUUUCAUCCUACAUUAGCUGAGCUUAUGCUUCGCAUAAUGAAUGGAAAGAAGGGAAGUUACCAGAAUUUUAAGCAAGUACCUCUCGUUCUAUUACUUGUGUUGCAAUUAAGGUGGCAUUACAUCAUUAAUGAAACAAUGGCCAUCACUUGUUCCUCUUCACCUACUGCCUGAUCAUAGUCUCCGGAUACUGGAUGGGGAACCCGAUCAGAACUGCCAUGGACCGGCUUUACUCGAUCGCUAUUGGAGGGUUUGUAGCCCUUCUUGUGAAUGCACUAGUGUUCCCCAUUUGGGCAGGGGAACAGCUCCAUAAGGAGCUUGUUGAUAGCUUCAAUGCAGGCACAGAUUCGCUCGAAGGUAGUUGAAAUCUCGGUCUUCGAUCUUAAAAUCAACAUUAUAAGAAUGAAAUUCACAAGCUAACAUGAACCCUUAUUUGUGUGUCCAUUGAAAUAAAUAAAUAGAAUGUGUUCAGAAGUACUUGAAGAGGAAGGACUGGAGCAUCAAGAGUUCACCAGCACGGUGAUGGAUGUAUUCCCGGACGAGCCUGCUUAUACGAAAUGUCGAACCAUCCUCGACUUGUCCGCGAAACUCGAAUCCCUGGUACUUAUAUAUACAGGUUGCGUCAGUUGGUGAUAACUUGCACAAUUUUCGUUGUCCAAGUGGAGUUGUUUUGGUGGUAGAGUUAUGUGUUGGCUACCUGUUGGUACCAGGUCGAGUCCAGGCAUAUUCUAACACUCUAUAUAAUGUUUAUUUGCUUCUAUCUUGUUGUCUUCAUAUCUCAGACAAAAAAACUUGCACGAUUGCAUUGCUAAGAACAUGUUUAUAUGGAUUUUAAGGCGAAUUCGGCGAAAUGGGAGCCACCACAUGGAAGGUUUAGACAAUUCUCCAUCCAUGGUCAGAGUACGUCAACGUUGGUGCUCUACUCAGAUACUGUGCUUAUGAAUUCAUGGCACUUCAUGGUGUUCUUCAUUCUGAGAAUCAGGUACCUGGAUUCUUAAGAAAAUUUGCUCACGCUGAUUUUUUCUGGUCACCAACAUUUCGAAUACGGCCUGCAUAGAUUCUUAAACGUUCACUCCAACCAUGUUCGUUGCAUGAUUUCUGAAAUGAUCAGGAUGCUAUGUAAUUUAUUAGCGAGGAAAUGUAUGCGACUCUCAUAACUUAAGGCAAAUCGUAAUCUUGGACUAACUUUAAAAUAAUAAAAUGCAGGCACCAUACAAUCUCAGGGUCACGAUCAAGCCCGAAAUUCAAGAAGCAGUCACUCAGUCCGCGGAGCUAAUACGAAACAUGAGAGACGAGAUCAACAACAAACUUCGAUGCUAAAAAUGGUCUAUGGUUCGGCUGAGCGGCUCCAACGCGCCAUCGACUUGCAAUCUUACUUGCUGAUCGUGUCAAACUUCGAUCCCGAGACAAAAAAGAUGACCUCCACAGCCUUCAUGGACGAUUCUUCAAGCCAGCUCCCGAUAAAUGGCAACGAAACGGAUAAGAUGAGGACUCUGGAGAGCACAGCAGCACUCUCAUUGGCAACUUUUACGUCAUUGUUUCUUGAGUUUGUUGCUAGGCUUGAUCACGUGGUUGAAGCUGUUGAUGGGCUCUGCAAAAUGGCCAGUUUCAAGCAUGAGGACGUGGUGUAGGAAGAUAGACAAAAUGUUUACUAUUUUGUUGCUACGAAUUGUAACGGGGAGAUAUGAAUUGAUACUUGAACCCUAAAACAUCUUGUGGAAGAUAAAGUUUAGCCAAGACUAUACACAGACCAGUUGGUACACAUGAGUCCAAUGUUACUUCAAUUACAAAAACAUCUAAACUUCAAAUGUGUUAGGUAACUUCAAAUGUGUUAGGUUAACUCAAGCGACUAAUGAUGAGGGCAUAGCGAACACUAACCCGAAAGACAGAUUACUCAAAGCCAAACCAGAAUACAAGAGUAAGAUGAUGGCUGAGCUCUAAAUAGUAAAUACCUCUUUUUAUGAUGUCGGCGCGUAUGAGAUUGAUAGAAUUGAUUGCAGCUUUCGAAAUCCUUGCUCUUUGAAUCUGUCGAUUGAUUGGCCAUUUGGUUGAAGCAUUUGAAAACCUUUUCAAGAAUGGCCAAAUUCAAGCACCAUGGCUAUGGACACUGAGCAUUUACCCACUAUGAUUUUAUUAGAAAUUCAACGCAACAAUUUACAAUGCAGGCAAUAGAGACAGAUAUUUACACAACAAAGCACUAGUAAUUACCCCUAACAAAGACCCUACUUGGCAACCCAAAACUGACACAAAAGGAUGAUGAACUGUUCAUGUUCCCCACUGUUCUACCAGAACAAUCAGCACCAAAGGAGAAAAUAAGCUUUCAGCACCCAUGGACUCCAUACCAGACAUGACACAACAAACAUAAAACAUAAAAGAAAAAGACAACUUCUGGGAAAGCAAAGCAAAUGAUUCAUUCAGUAACCACCACUUGAUAGGUAUUGCGCAUGCUGAUAUUCUCUGCUGCUAAAGCCAGUACCAGUACCAGAACCAUUUGCCAGCAAUGCCAUCAAACUCCCACCAUGAACCCUGCCUUCGGGUACAGACGCAGGCUUCGACAAAUGAACCCUGCCUUCCCUGCCAACGAUUUGGUUUCCUUUUGCCUCUGUAUUGGUUCCAUCAGACGAGACAACAGCAGUAAUUCCUCCCAUACUUGAAGCAUCUACAAUCAUGUCAUCUGGAGCAGCAACUUCUUUUGUCUUGCCGGUGCGGCAGCUGCCUUUGGGAUCCUGGACCAUAGUACCCAAAGUGAUACCACCAUGAACCCGUCUAUCCUGUACCAAACCACUGUGUAGAGCACAGAGACCGGUUUUGCCCCUCGCAAAAGAGUUGCAAGCAGCAGUAGGCUGAACACCAUAUCCUGACCCAGGAUGGCCCCAAGAGCAUCUCUUUCCUCCACCAUGUGCCUUGCAGAAAUCUGUGCUGCCUUGGGCACUUUUCCCGCACCCUUCAAACUUGCAUCGCUUGCCGCCACCAUGACGAACACAAAAGUCAGUCCGUCCUCUUGCACUUCUUGUGCAUUCAGGAACAGCACACCUCUUGCCACCUCCAUGUGCUACACAGAAGUUGGUUCCUCCAUGGACACUCUUAGAACAAAUCCCACCACCUUGGAAGGCACACCUUUUCCCUCCUCCGUGACCCUUGCAAAAAGGGGUGCUCCCCUCGGCUCCCUUAGUGCAACCUGGAGCUGUGCAGCGUUUCCCACCACCAUGUGCUUUGCAGAACAUUGUACUUCCUUGAGCUCCUUUUGUACAAUCAGGGGCUUGACAUCUACGGCCACCUCCGUGAGAAAUGCAGAGACCUGAAAGACCUUCGGCACUCUUGGUACAGUUCUCCUUCUGACAUCUUUUCCCACCACCAUGGCGAAUGCAUAAACCAGAUUUGCCUCUAGCAGCACGAGCACAACCUUCAUGACUACAUCUCCGACCACCGCCAUGGGCAAUACAAAAGUCUGUCCUGCCUUCUGCACUUUUUGUACAACCAAGGAACUCACAUCGGCGACCACCUCCAUGGGCCUUGCAGUAUACAGUACGUCCUUCAGCUCCCUUAUGACAUCCUGCUUUCUGACAUCUCCUGCCACCACCAUGAGAUAUACAGCGACCAGAAGCACCUCUAGCCCCCUUCCCACAUCCUUCAACUUGGCAUGUUUUAGAACCAGACCCACGUAGAGAUCGUUGCUGUUGUGGUAGCCCAGAAGUACAGAUGACCGAGUCAUUUGGUGCUACCAUACCAGCUGAAGGAUCUCGGACAAUGGGAUCACUAGCUUUGUGAACCUUAUUGAAAAGAAAGCUGGCCUCUUUGUUGCAAGUAGUCUGUGCUGGAAUCACUGUAAAGCCUGUUUUCUGGUAGUAUGAUGUUGAUACAUCAGCUAAGCAGAAAGGCCCGCCAGCAGUUACAGGCAAUUCAGUAGCAAAUUCAUGUGAGGCAGAACCAGCAUGAACACUUGUAAUCUCGGAUUCAGAGGGUCCGGUGGCCAAACUCAACUCCAGGUCAACUUUAGUUGAAAAUUCCAGUCCUUUAGCAUGCGAUGUAAGAGACUUUUUUGAGCUAGAUACCUUUUCAUUGCCAAGAUGGAGGGAGAAGUCCAACUCAAGAUCCAUCGAAGACUCAUCAUCAGUUUCCUUGGCAGAUGACAUUGUAGUGCAUCCAGUUGCAGAACUUCCUUUGCUAUCAGAUGAACUCGAUGGCCGGCCCAACCCAAGAGAUAAUGAAGAGCCAACCUGCUGACUCAUUGCUCCAUCAAUUAAACUCCAUUUCCGCUUCACUCCCUUAGAAGGAGGAGCAAAGGGAACAGAAGAACCAAAGGAAUCGAGCCUUAAGACUGUAUCGGCUCUAGACUGAGGUAUAACUCCUCCAGCUUGCAUAACCAUGAAUGCAUUUGAAGGGUAAUUAGCAGGAAAACCUAAGUUCUGGAGCCUGUUCUCCAUCAAUCAGAACCACAAACCGAAUGUAAUUUCUCAACCUAAUAACCUACACCAAUUAACUGUACACCUAACUACUCUGAGGUUAUAAAAUACCAAAACUAUGUUAAUAGUUGUAGGUCACGCUAUCCAGCAUGUACAACCCCCGCUGACAAACCCAGAUGUGUCACAACGAUCCAUAUUUCCUUUUUAACUUGUCAAACAGAAAAGCUGUAGUGGAUCAGCUGGAACAGACGAGGGUUAACAGCAUAGCAUCUCCUACUUCAUGAUAUUGUCAAGGCAGCCAAGCAUCCUGUUACCACAGCAAUAAACCGCAUAAUUAGAGCAAGUAUUGAAGCUACAAACAAUGGAACAUCAGGCUUGAAGACAAAGACUUUGAAUUGCAAAGAUAAUAUGAAGUUCAAGACAAAUAAAGGGAAAACAAGACAGCGGCUGUUAUACUCUUAGAUCAAAAAUCAAUUCAGUAAUUCUAGCAAAUCUCUAGACUGGUGUAUAAGGGAAACACAGAUUGGAAAAGUUGGUUAACUCGGAAAUGAGAUUGUAUGAAAUACAUCCAUAAGUAAGAAAACUGAAGGCCAGAUUGCAGAUUUCUAUGUGUGAUUACUGUCCACAAAGUCCAAAAAUGAUAAAAGACAAAUCUUGAAUGCAAGACAUUCGAAAGAGAAUUCUAUCAAUGAAACCAAAUUCGUCACGUAAUUAUUCAGAUUCAACUUACAAAAGGCACACCGAUGAAAACCGUAAGAUCCAACACUUCACUCGAACAAAAAACUAAGAAACGAAUGAAAUUAAAAGGCCUCCAUAACUCGAGACCUCCGAAAACCCAUUAAGACGAACAAAAUCCACCGAUUACAAACAAGUAAACAAAGAAAACGUGAAAUCCUCGCUCCACAGCUACAAUCAGCAUCGACAAAGACCAACCCAGCAAUUCGUUUUCUAAGAAAGGCGAAUAACGGAAGCGAAUAAGAUAAACAGAAUUGCGUAGAAAGAGAAGCAGUGAAGUACCUUUGAAUUCCGAUGAUUGAACACCGAUUGGGGAAAGAGCGGGAAAGGAAACGAAGAAAUACGGAGAGAGAAAACGCAGCGUAGGGAUCGGUGCAAGGCGGCGGAAGGGUCUUUAGGGUUUGUAUGGACGAUGAGAAGAAGGAAGGCGUAGCAGAUCUGAGAGAGAGCGGCGGGGAGAAAACGAGAGGAAAAUUUUGCGGAGAGAUAUAUAUGAAGAGGUGGAGGAGAAAAUUUGAAGGCACUUUGCCUUUUCGGUGUAGGGUGGCGCACGUGCUGACGAAUAUCGUUCGCACGUGCCGCUACUACCAUCGGCGUCGUUUUUUUUUUUUUCCUUUCGGUUUUAGAACCUCUGCCGCCAACCCGCUACGCUACCCGCUGUUUUUCAUUUUGUUUUUAUUUUCCUUUUCCUUUUACUUCCGCUCUUUUCAUCCUUAACGUUCCUUAAUUUCAUUCGUCGGAUCGAGCCGAAAAAUCAUGGUUUAUUUAUUUUCAAUUUAAAACUUGAAUAUAUAUCACAUAAAAAGUCUUUUAUUUUCGUAUGAUAUUUUGCAUUUCAAAUUAUAUUUAAUCUGAUUCAAUGCACUCAAUUAUUCUAAAUUUACGGUUGUUAAUAAUAAAUUGAAUAUAAAAAAUAAAAGACGGUUGAUAAUGCACACAACAUAGGGAUGAUAUUGCCAUGGUUCUUAAACAUAUUAAUAGGAGGAGCUAACAAAACCGAUUUACACUCAUCUCAAACAAAGCUCGGAGACAAAAACAUUCCCUUUGAAAGUAAUUGCACCGAAUCGCUAUACUUCGUCGAAGUCACUACACCCCCUAAUACGAACCAAAGCAUCGAGGGUCGAAUCCAGCCCACCUCUCGUCCUAUUGGGGUCCAGAAUCAUAUAUAUUUGCUACCAUUAGGUGUCUUUACUCGUACAAUUGCCCUGUAAUUAUCAACUUACAUUAUCCGGCGAGUAAUUUUAGGUAUUGGAGGAGACAGUGAAAUGUGGAAUCGGAAAACAUGGUGGUAAAGUAGGAUGACAUCGUGAUCUGGAAUUGUGAUCAGGAUAAGGCCGGCUAGGCUAGGGGCGAUGGAUCAUAAAUCCACCUUUUUGGAACUUUAAAGGACAAACUUAUUAAAUUGCAUCUUCAGAUCUCAGGUUUGGUGUUUGGUUCGAAAAAACUCGUUCGUGAUUCGGUUUAAUUUUAAACGAGCCAAAUUUGAGUUACGGUAUGUUCGGCUCGAUAGGUUUGCGAGUUGGAUCGAGUUCGAACUCGAGAGCCAACUUAAAUACUAACUCGAUAAUAUAUGGCUCGUCAGUAGACUCAAUUAUACAACACGUGUCUCGCACCAUAUACAAUAGAACGUAUGUAGGAAAUUAAAAUUUUAGAAUAGUAUGUUUCUUAGCUUGAUUUGGCAAUGUUUUUUUUAGCGUACAGGUUUCAAAUUCAACUCAAAUUGAUCUCUCAUUAUGGAUUUUAAUAAACGAAAUUCGAGUUGAGUUCGAGUUUGGCCCGGCAAUAGUAGCUAAAGAGCCGGGAUCUAAUAUGCUCGAGCUCGACACAAACCAAAAUUAUUUAGGUCGAGUUGUAGCUCUUAACUCAAUUAAAACUCCGACCAGACUUUCCGACCAUGUUGUCCGGCCGGCAAUGGAAUAACAAAACCGUGGAGAGACGCGACGUCUCGUUUGCCACAAAACAAAUGGCGUACAGGCAGAGGCCCACGUCCCCAUUUCUUUUUCUUUUUUUCCGUUAAUAUCUUCAAUAAUAUUCAUCAUCGGUUCGGUUGGGAAUAAAAAUCUACAAAUUUCAUCUUUUUGAUUGACCCAAAUGACCGACCAAGGACGAAGAAAGAAUAUGCUAAAUAAUAUUCCAUUUUUUCCUUUUGUUUCUUCUAAAAAUAAUAUUUAUUUUAUGAGCGGAUACCGGUUUAGUACUAUUGUUAACCCGUUAGAAAGUAUAAAACAUUCAUCUGGUCGGCAAGCCAACUCGGAGGUAUAACACCCGUAAACGGGGACGCAUGGAAAACAGAUUAUCUCGUUAAUAUAUGCGCAACCUGAUUCCUUUCUUUCUGAACAAAACAAAAAUCGUCUCCCAAACUUUCAGCAGCGAUCUACACAUAUGCACUACUUCUCCAUACUAUGUGACAUCAUCGAUUGGCCAAGCUAGCGCGUUGACGAGGAGUUGUGAAUCACUUUCGAAAAUAACCUGUGGCAUUCGCAUAUCGAUGAUCCAGCGGAGAGCUUCCCUUUAUAUAUAUAUAACUCAAAAGAGAAGAGAUCAUUUUGGAUGGCCAUUCCCCAUCCCACGUUACUCCUAUUUGUGUUGCCAUCCAUCCAUGUUCAUCCUUUCACUUUCAUCCAUCUCUUUAUCUCUUUUCCCCCUCCCUUCACACCAUUUGUCAACUUCCACUACCGUUACUUUCUCCCCGUUUCGCAUAUACAUGCACUCUCCUUGCACUCCGGUUCACUUCUCAAAAUUCAGUCAUAAAUUCGUCAUUAUAUUCACUUUCACUGAUCGUAUUUGUGCGGGUUCAGAAAGAGUAUAAUGAGUUACCACAUUAAAAGUAGUGCACAAUUUUCAUUUAGCUUAUCCUUAUAAACGGAAAGAUCUAACUCGCCUACUUUAUUGUAUGCCUUAUACCGAGCGAUCCUACACAAUAUCAUCAUAACUUUCUCAUCACGACGGACAAGUGGUUUCCCCGGUGAUGGGCCUAGGCCCAUCGGCCGACUCCCAUCAGACAGCAAGCCCAAGAGCUCGAGCCUAGCCGCCGACACACCACUCUGUCGGUCAUCCCAGAGGGUCCGAAGGACUAGUAAUCAUUAACUGACAGAUCCUUUGACUUCCAUCGCUUGUUUCAUUCGUGUGACAGUGCAUCCCGCCCCUUUAGUUGACAGGACAUCAACCGCAGUAAGAGGUAGCUCAACCGCCAGGCCAGCCAAGCUUUAUGCCAAGGCAUAUAUCGACAUUUAACCAUCUAACAGUCGGGAUCUUCUUAGGGUCUAAUCACUGAUCGUCGUCUAACAUUCCCAAUCAAGCCCAUGCCACUAUUAUAAAACUUAUAAGGCACGAUAACCACUGCAUUUAUGACACAUUAUCUACCCUGACACUACAUUGAUCUCAAACCUCUAGAUACUUAACUAGUAGCAAAAUAAGUGGUUUAUUCGUAGCACCCAACUUGGUCGGUGGCCUAAAAGUAACAGUUUCGAACUAUCAACCUAUCAAUCCAAAUCUGAAAUCCUUAAUUACCUCUAAGCGAACCAAUACUCAACGUCGGUACAUAAUCGCUGAAAAAACACAAUGCUAUAUACUUAUAUAAUCAGUUAUCAGCAUUCAGCAGUACCAAAGAACCUGCAAAUUCUAUGCAUCUUUAUAUAGAAAAAGAUUGAACCAAACUCUUAGAACAUGUCUGACUGUUUUCUGGAAAUAAACAAAUGUCAAGUUGAUUACAAAGAUUAUGAACUUCUUUUUAUGCCAGAGGUUGCGUUUAUUCUUCUUCGUCUCUCUAAAAUACAAUCUCGAACAAUGUCAUGGCGGCGAAGACCAGGAAAAGAAUCCCCCCCGUGUAUGCAAUGACCUGUCAACCAAAAUGGGUCACUUCCCCAAAGUGCAUUAAUAAUUGUAAACAAAGAGUGGUUGAAUUGAAGCAGAGAAGCUUAAAUAUUCUGUACUAGCACGUGGAAAUGUUUCUUCUCUUCUCUGUAUAAUAUCAUUAACAUUGAACAGCAAAAUCACAGGGAGGCAGAAGAACGUGGUCUUUCUUUUCUAAUUUUCCUUUGUAAAAAACAGUAGUGGUGUUGAAGAUCCACUAUAAAGAUAUAUAUUCCAAAACAACAACAGGCUUAUGUUGUUAUGGUACGAAUUCAGCCUGUCCUCCAAUGAUGUCUUGUCCAACUCAGGGGGUGGGAAUCUUUCAAUGGUAAAAAUAUACCAAGUUAUCAGAUUUUUCAAAUAGGGGGGAUAGUAGGAAAUCAAAAGGUGUGAUGCAUCGUUGGCCGAAUACUCCAGUACUUUAUAACCAGUUAUUCAAACGGAAAGAACUAAUGAUGGCUAACAAAUUGAAUGGUUAAGGGUCAAGAUGCUGAUAGGUACAUGCAACUUGAGUUUCAAUCAUGAACCUUUUUUGACCCAAUGCUAAUCUGCUCAUUUGCUAAAGUACAAGCAUAUUCUGGGUUUCACUCUUUUAUCAGAUAAUGAAAUUCCAAAUUAUGAAAUUGACACUCAUUUGAAGAUAGAUAACACAUAAGGGGAAGAUGAAGGGUUGAAGAAAGUUUUUACCUUUUCCGAGAGGAAUGUUCCAAGUAAUGAACCUCCCAAGACGGCAAUCUGCCAAAAAAGUUACUUCAAGCUUAAGUAAAAAAGCAGAGAAGAAGAUAGCUAGCUUGUAAAACACGUUUCAAUGGAAGCAGAAUCAAGAUUAUGUUUUUUAAUGAAUUAUGGUAUGAAGUGAUAGUUACCAGAGUUGCAACGGCAUGACCAGCUAAGGAUCCAGCAAUGACACCAAGAGGCGAAGAUGCAGCAGCAAGUGCUGGAAGAUUGAACAAAAGGAUGUCUUAGGAAAGAACCAAAUAAGUAAUAAUAUCAUAUCAAUUGGGAAGGAGAAACUGUCGAAGUUGUAAAAUUUAGACUAGAAACUGACCGAUUGUGGAGAAGAAAGAUUUGUCACCCCAUUCCGCAACAAAAACCAAAGCAAAUGUGCUGAUAAUGGUGUUGGCAGCAGACAAAAUGCCUGCACCAUCUCCUGAGAACUCCGAAACUGCUAUUUCCGCCUAGUUUCAUAGCAUAAACAAAACGAGGAAUUAGGUUACUGUCACUCAUUUAAUGUUCAUGAAAUGAUGGGAAUAGAGACUGACCUCUUUCUGCUCAUCUUCUGCUUUCAUGCUAUCACUUGAAGAAGCAUCAAUCAAUGUUGAAAUCCCAAAAUAGACCUGAUAUUCGUUCAAGUUAGCUCGAAAGUUGUUGAGUUCACAAGGCAUAAUAGUGUAACAUUUUCCCGUUCAAUCAGAGCAUUAUAGACACUCACCAGAAGGCAUACUGCAGCAAUAUCAUCAAUUGGCAAAUCGGUUUCGCCAAACCUGCAGAUCCAAUCUUCUGUUAGUAAAAAGAGCAGCAAUCGAAAGAGCAGGUUCUAGCAAUAAAACAACGUUCAAUACAGUUUUGUGUCAGCUAGUAUAAUUUCACGAAGUUCUCUCACUAGAGUCCCCAGGAAAGUACCUGAAAGGAAGGAUCUCGUCCACAUAAUGGAAAGUUCUUCCAAGUACAACAGAUAUGACGGUCAUUACCCUGUUGACAUAGGAAGACGAGGGUAAGAUACACAAAUUAAUCAGUAUAAACAGUUUACAUUAUCGAUGUUCAGUUAUCAACCUAGCUUGUUAGAUGUUUUAAGAAUGAAGGACACAAGCAUAACAUCUGAGAGGAAGGAACAUACCCAAGUGCGCCAAAGGUUCCUGCAAAGACAACAGCAGCAGAAUUCCUAGCUGCUAAUAGUGCCUGCAAGCGAAACGAAACAUCUCAUCAUCUUAAAUUUUAAAAAUUAUGAACAGUAAUGAAGAGUGACACUUCAGUGAAAAUGAGUAAAACAAACGAAAUUUGACUAGCUCAUACUUAUUCCUCAUUUCAGCGAGAACGAGUAGAGCCAGGUUCUGUUUCACGGAUUAAGAGUGUUAGUGUUGUAACAGUCUUACCGCUAUGAAAAAGGUUUUGUCACCCAACUCUGAGAAAAAUAUUAGCAAGAAUGCCUGCAACACAACAAACAAACCAAAUUAGGAAGUUUUCAUGUUUGCAUUCCAAAGGCAACUCCAUCGGAAAUGCCAAGUGUCAAGUUAAAAUGGGAAACCAUUUAGUAAUUCAACUUGAAAGAUUUUUAUACAAAAGAACAGAAAAGGUGUUAUAUUGGCAGUGAAGUCAUGCAAUAGGUAGACACAAAGGUUCAGUUUAAUUUGUUCAAAUAAUCUCUAGGAUGAAAUAAACGACAUCAUCGAUGCUUUAAGCUCGAUUUUUCGAGCGAGGAGACGUAUCAUUCAUAGAAGGAACAAGGAGAUUCUCCUAACUGAAGCAAAACCUGUACUAAUGUCACCAAGGUCUCCAAUAUAAGGUAUCGUUUGCGACCCACUGCUCGCAAGCUCAGUUACAGAAGCAACUGCCUGAUCAGACCCCUGAAACAUCAGAUAUCCAAAGAGCCACAUGAAUUUCAUCAAACUCUCAUGUGAUACGGAGGAUUCCACCGCGCCAAACUCCUUCAAUGAAGUUCUCUUCACAAUGCCACCCAUAAUCCGAACCAAUUCUUCCGCCUCCAGCCAAUUUUUGGCUCCAACAUCCUCAACUUCCUGUGACCAAAUUCAACACCCACAUAACUUAAUGGCUAAACAUUCACCAGAAUCCGUAAGAGGGAAGGUAAUCAUGAGAGGGAGCAUUACUGGAUCCUCAGAAUCCGAAAGAACCAUGGGAAGAAGUAGCCCUCUCGUUACUGAUUCCUGAAUUGGGUCUCUGAGGCAUUCUCUCGAACACCUAAUAUGCAUGAUCAGAGAAACGCAACUAAACAAAGCUGACACCACAAAUUCUCCAAGAGAAGAAGCGAAAUUGAAUUAGUUAUUACCUGGACGAAACAAGAGAUGGGAGAUUGAAAGGAAGGCCUAGAGGGAGCAUACGGGAAUCCAGUGGCUUCUUGUAUAGACAUGGGGGUGGGAAAGAACAAUGUGGGUGAUGGAUGGAACGCCCUUCAGAGACCGCCACGCUUCGCAUUCUGGCUAUGGUAGCAAAACCAAAAUUACAAGGCGGAAGAUUGAACGAAGGUACAAACUCUCUUCUUCUUCUUCUUCAAAGAGCUGCUGGCUUUUCCUGCUGGGUUAUAAUUUUCGUGUGGUGAUGGAUUGAUCUCUGUGGUGGGAAUGGUGGGUUUGUUCUCCAACAUGAUUGGAUAGUGGUGGAUAAGUUUUCUGUUAGCUGGAUUUGCCGCCAUUAUCAUCUAUCUUACCGUUUACUUUUGGGUUACUGUGGUGUCAAACAUUGGACCUCAAAAUUGCACGUUACUGUUUAGUUCCGCGAAAUACUAUCAAAACGAAGUUUAAUAAUUUUUUUUUAAAGUAACGCAUCAAAAUUGCACGUUACUGUUUAGUACCGCGAAAAUGAUACUAUCAAAACGAAGUUUAAUAAUCUUUUCUAAAGUAACGCAUCAAAAUUGCACGUUCAUUAAAACCCCGUACAAAUCAUAUGUUGGAAUCCUGUGGAAGAGAUAAUUUAUCGCUUUGUUCGGAUGCAAUGAUUUCUACAUCCGCGGCACAAUUAGUUUCGACAAUAAUUUCAAAAAAUAUCAACUAAACACAUUUUAGCUAUUCGUUUUGAAAUAGAGUAAAAUUACAGCUAGUUUCUAACACAAUGCGCUAGGUUGGUGGCCGAUAAUGUGCCAGUGCCAUAGCUGAAGAUCGUCGACAGAAUUCUCCGCCUUCUGGGACCUCCUUUUCAAUGUCGAGUAUGCGCCAACACUGUAAAGCAAACUGGCAUUCCACAAAGAGAUGCCAGCCUUCCUCAUAUCCAUGAAUGCAUAUACCACAUUCCCCUUGCACCUGGGUUCCCUUUCGCCGGAGUCGUCCCCUCGUAGGUAGAACAUCAUGCCCAAUUCUCCAUAACAGGUGCCUGUGUUUCGAAGGUAGGUUUGAAUCCCAUAGUUUCCUCCAUUCACCCGGCCUAUAGUGGUGGGAUCUAUUGACCAUAUGCUCCAUGUAUACUCGAUAGGCCGAACGAACCGUGUAUUGGCCAUUUCUGCCGUAAUGCCAAAUAGUUGUCUCGAUCCCCGUCGCCAUACUAACGGGAAUGGAUAGAAUCUCUCGUUGGUCUCGAGGAGAGAAGAGGUUUGUA